This 465-nucleotide ribosomal RNA is filed under the name uncultured Klebsiella sp. Its description in RNAcentral is "bacterial SSU rRNA". It matches the Rfam family "Bacterial small subunit ribosomal RNA", at positions 338 to 795 of the family's 1533-position model. Lineage: Bacteria; Pseudomonadati; Pseudomonadota; Gammaproteobacteria; Enterobacterales; Enterobacteriaceae. The record is from RNAcentral.
CCUACGGGUGGCUGCAGUGGGGAAUAUUGCACAAUGGGCGCAAGCCUGAUGCAGCCAUACCGCGUGUGUGAAGAAGGCCUUCGGGUUGUAAAGCACUUUCAGCGGGGAGGAAGGCGGUGAGGUUAAUAACCUCAUCGAUUGACGUUACCCGCAGAAGAAGCACCGGCUAACUCCGUGCCAGCAGCCGCGGUAAUACGGAGGGUGCAAGCGUUAAUCGGAAUUACUGGGCGUAAAGCGCACGCAGGCGGUCUGUCAAGUCGGAUGUGAAAUCCCCGGGCUCAACCUGGGAACUGCAUUCGAAACUGGCAGGCUAGAGUCUUGUAGAGGGGGGUAGAAUUCCAGGUGUAGCGGUGAAAUGCGUAGAGAUCUGGAGGAAUACCGGUGGCGAAGGCGGCCCCCUGGACAAAGACUGACGCUCAGGUGCGAAAGCGUGGGGAGCAAACAGGAUUAGAUACCCGAGUAGUC